RNAcentral lists this ribosomal RNA (444 nucleotides) under uncultured bacterium. Its description in RNAcentral is "bacterial SSU rRNA". It matches the Rfam family "Bacterial small subunit ribosomal RNA", at positions 334 to 790 of the family's 1533-position model. The record is from RNAcentral.
UACUCCUACGGGAGGCAGCAGUAGGGAAUAUUGCACAAUGGGCGCAAGCCUGAUGCAGCAACGCCGCGUGAGGGACGACGGCCUUCGGGUUGUAAACCUCUUUUAGUAGGGAAGAAGCGAAAGUGACGGUACCUGCAGAAAAAGCACCGGCUAACUACGUGCCAGCAGCCGCGGUAAUACGUAGGGUGCAAGCGUUAUCCGGAAUUAUUGGGCGUAAAGAGCUCGUAGGCGGUUUGUCGCGUCUGCUGUGAAACCCCGAGGCUCAACCUCGGGCCUGCAGUGGGUACGGGCAGACUAGAGUGCGGUAGGGGAGAUUGGAAUUCCUGGUGUAGCGGUGGAAUGCGCAGAUAUCAGGAGGAACACCAAUGGCGAAGGCAGAUCUCUGGGCCGUAACUGACGCUGAGGAGCGAAAGCAUGGGGAGCGAACAGGAUUAGAUACCCUGG